UGGAACAGAUCACUUCAAACCACAACUGCAAUACAGGGAACAGAAAAGUAUCCCAUAGCUGCAAUACAGGGAACAGAACAUUAUCCCAUAGCUGCAGGAUCCAUGUUGGAACGCAGAGUGGCACACAAGAUGAAAUACUUCACAGUUGAGACUGGCAGUACUUUGAGUUCUCAUAUUCAGUUUAUGAGACGACUCAACACCACAAGAUGUUUUACGGAAGUCAA
Long non-coding RNA from Coregonus clupeaformis (lake whitefish), 224 nucleotides. RefSeq lists it as uncharacterized. The transcript is spliced from 3 exons. Lineage: Eukaryota; Metazoa; Chordata; Actinopteri; Salmoniformes; Salmonidae. The record is from RefSeq and is a predicted model, not a curated record.